Molecule: long non-coding RNA, 752 nt
Filed under: Numida meleagris (helmeted guineafowl)
Lineage: Eukaryota; Metazoa; Chordata; Aves; Galliformes; Numididae
Description: lncRNA (ENSNMEG00000015328.1)
Source: RNAcentral
CUGGGUUGUUUCUGUCCACACGCACAGCUUGUAGUCAUCUGGCACAGCUUGUGGUCAUCUGAUAAAGCAGGCGCAGCAGGGGGAUGACCUACUUGUUUUUUGUGAAAUGCUCACAGCUGUUAGUUUGUUAGUCAGGGGGCAAAAAGGUAGAAAUGAAGUCAGUCAGAAAUAGCUGGGUGGUGGCUCAGUGAAUUCCAGGCUUUGGAACCUGCAGUAUUUUAACACACAACUUUAUUUUCUGAAAUGACAAAAGCGCAAACCAAACUAAGUGCUGACAUGAGGGUUGGCUGGAACGUAGGUGUCUAGGACUGCUGUCUUGAAGGAGUCCAUUAGCUGCUGGAAGCACAUUCCUGUGCAGCUGGCUGCAGACAUGGAGUACCCAUAUGCUGGGCCAGGCAGCACUUCUCUGGAGGCUCUUGAGCUGGGUUGGAGCUCCUCUGCUCAGGCAGCAUAUCAGGAGCAUAGGACAAAUUCUUCAGGGAGAGAAUGACCUGGAAAAAAAAAACAAAAGCAAAUGAAAAAACAACCCUAUCAGAGGGCACUUUUAGUCUGUGAAGUGAGCUGGCAGUCCAGUUAGAUUUUCCAGCAGAGACGGAUUGUAUUUAAAUUUCUUACUGUCAAAUUCAGCUUGAAACAAGAAAGGUAUGGAAGCAUCAGGUCUCAUCUGGAGGAGACUGAUAUCAGCAAGGCUACAAGGCACUGCCAUUGAUGAAGGUAUGGGUUUUUUUCCCCAUGGGGUGAAGUUUUCAACU